This 315-nucleotide long non-coding RNA is filed under the name Elaeis guineensis (African oil palm). RNAcentral's name for it is "long non-coding RNA (EGUI_LNC072021)". The record is from RNAcentral. Lineage: Eukaryota; Viridiplantae; Streptophyta; Magnoliopsida; Arecales; Arecaceae.
CAUGAGGACUUCGUGUGGAUACUCGUAGAGGCCGGAUGCGUGUGCAGUUGCCAAGCAUCAUAAAGAAUCAUCUACUAUGGAUUUCGGAUAUGAUGAUUUGCUACCCAGACUCAAGUAUGAGAUUUUGUUCUCAAUUAAUUUUUAGAUGUAAUUUAAAUGUGAAUUAGAUAUGAUCUAAUUACACUUAGAUAUGUUCAAUAUAUGAUGAUUUUAGAUUUUAGAUGUACAUACAUACAUAUUAGCUCAUGUCAUAGAUCCUAUAUGGUGAUUUAAAUUUGAUCUAAGCAUGCAUUAUAGAUUAAAUUAUUAAUCUAU